UACGAAGGGGGCUAGCGUUGUUCGGAAUUACUGGGCGUAAAGCGCGCGCAGGCGGUCUUCCAAGUCAGUGGUGAAAUCCUGGAGCUCAACUCCAGAACUGCCUUCGAUACUGGAAGACUUGAGUCCGGGAGAGGUGAGUGGAACUGCGAGUGUAGAGGUGAAAUUCGUAGAUAUUCGCAAGAACACCAGUGGCGAAGGCGGCUCACUGGCCCGGUACUGACGCUGAGGCGCGAAAGCGUGGGGAGCAAACAGG
RNAcentral lists this ribosomal RNA (253 nucleotides) under uncultured bacterium. RNAcentral's name for it is "partial 16S ribosomal RNA". It matches the Rfam family "Bacterial small subunit ribosomal RNA", at positions 524 to 776 of the family's 1533-position model. The record is from RNAcentral.